Molecule: ribosomal RNA, 433 nt
Filed under: uncultured bacterium
Lineage: Bacteria
Description: partial 16S ribosomal RNA
Rfam family: Bacterial small subunit ribosomal RNA
Source: RNAcentral
AACGAACGCUGGCGGCAUGCCUAACACAUGCAAGUCGAACGAGACCUUCGGGUCUAGUGGCGCACGGGUGCGUAACGCGUGGGAACCUUCCCUUAUGUUCGGAAUAACUCCCCGAAAUGGGUGCUAAUACCGGAUAAUGUCUUCGGACCAAAGAUUUAUCGCCUUUGGAUGGGCCCGCGUUGGAUUAGCUCGUUGGUAGGGUAAAAGCCUACCACGGCGACGAUCCAUAGCUGGUCUGAGAGGAUGAUCAGCCACACUGGGACUGAGACACAGCCCAGAAUACUACGGGAAGCAGCAGUGGGGAAUAUUGGACAAUGGGCGAAAGGCUGAUCCAGCAAUGCCGCGUGAGUGAUGAAGGCCUUAGGGUUGUAAAGCUCUUUUACCCGGGAUGAUAAUGACAGUACCGGGAGAAUAAGCUCCGGCUAACUCCGUG